AGGCAAUGCCCAGUAACGGCGAGUGAGCGGCAACAGCUCAAAUUUGAAAUCUGGCCCCCAGGGCCCGAGUUGUAAUUUGCAGAGGAUGCUUUUGGCGCGGUGCCUUCCGAGUUCCCUGGAACGGGACGCCAUAGAGGGUGAGAGCCCCGUCUGGUCGGACGCCUAGCCUGUGUAAAGCUCCUUCGACGAGUCGAGUAGUUUGGGAAUGCUGCUCUAAAUGGGAGGUAUAUGUCUUCUAAAGCUAAAUACCGGCCAGAGACCGAUAGCGCACAAGUAGAGUGAUCGAAAGAUGAAAAGCACUUUGAAAAGAGGGUUAAAUAGUACGUGAAAUUGUUGAAAGGGAAGCGCUUGUGACCAGACUUGGGCCCGGUGGAUCAUCCAGCGUUCUCGCUGGUGCACUCCGCCGGGUUCAGGCCAGCAUCAGUUCGCCGCGGGGGAAAAAGGCUUCGGGAACGUGGCUCCUACGGGAGUGUUAUAGCCCGUUGCAUAAUACCCUGGGGCGGACUGAGGUUCGCGCUCCGCAAGGAUGCUGGCGUAAUGGUCAUCAGCGACCCGUCUUGAAACACGGACCA
Molecule: ribosomal RNA, 572 nt
Filed under: Purpureocillium lilacinum
Lineage: Eukaryota; Fungi; Ascomycota; Sordariomycetes; Hypocreales; Ophiocordycipitaceae
Description: partial large subunit ribosomal RNA
Rfam family: Eukaryotic large subunit ribosomal RNA
Source: RNAcentral